CGCAACUUGGCUUCCAGCGUAGAAACGCACCCUUUAUCCACUCGUGGACUUGUGGUCAAGCCCGCCGACCACCGCCGCCGCCCUCCAUCAUCCGCCGCCGUCCCCCUCGUCCGCGAGGGGUCACCACUCGUGCUCGUACCCUCUCCAUCCGUCUCUCUCGCUUCUUCUUUUUCCUGUCCGCUUCGACGCCACCAUCUCCUUACUGCAGGCAUCUCUGGCCUUCGCGGGCCGCCGAAAGGUCCUAUCAAUCAUGGUUCCAAUCUUGUAUGCAGCAGCCUCAAUCACGGUUCCAAUCUUGUGUGCAGCAGCCUCAAUCACGGUUCCAAUCUUGUGUGCAGCAGCCUCAAUCACGAUUCCAAUCUUGUGUGCAGUAGCCUGGAUCAGUUCGAUUCUUUGCUUGGGAUAUGAAAGAUGCUGGUUUUGCAAGAUCUGGGACUAGUGAAAAAUGAAGCAAAGGCUAAUCAACGAGCCCCUCAGGAUGUUACAGGUUAUGGCCCUCUUCAGGUUAGAGAGUGGACUGUGGAGAUCUAGUUGAUUUCACUGCAUAAUGCAGUGAGUCGUGGUGGACUGGUGGCAAUACAUUUACAAUGCAUAUGGGCAUUAGAGUAUAUGUGAGUUUAUUUCCUCAUGUUGAUUGGAUCACGCUGCUAGAGCCUUUUGGAAGCUGUAGAGGAAGAGAAAGAGAGAAAUAUCCAACUGCCCAAAGAGCUCCUCGAUGAGAUCGAGAUUACCACCUAGUUGCAAGUCACGUUCUUGGAUUAGUCCAAAGUGUAAAUGUUUGAUAUUAUAGUUUGUACUUUGUAGUAAUCACAGAUGUACAUAUAUUUUUUGUUGACAAGAUCAAGCGUCCAUGUAGGAUCCGUGCAAUGAUAUGUA
Long non-coding RNA from Setaria italica (foxtail millet), 876 nucleotides. RefSeq lists it as uncharacterized. The record is from RefSeq and is a predicted model, not a curated record. NCBI's taxonomy places the organism in Eukaryota, Viridiplantae, Streptophyta, Magnoliopsida, Poales, Poaceae. The transcript is spliced from 3 exons.